This 258-nucleotide unclassified non-coding RNA is filed under the name uncultured fungus. RNAcentral describes it as "partial contains 5.8S ribosomal RNA, internal transcribed spacer 2, and large subunit ribosomal RNA". The record is from RNAcentral. Lineage: Eukaryota; Fungi.
AACGCACAUUGCACCCCUUGGUAUUCCGAGGGGUAUGCCUGUUCGAGCGUCAUUACACCACUCAAGCACAGCUUGGUAUUGGGCAACCGCCCCCGCCAGUCGGGGACGCGCCUCAAACACCUCGGCGGAGCCUCACCGGCUUUGGGCGUAGUAGAAUUUCUAAUAACGUCCUUUAACGGAGAUGGUUCCUUUGCCGACAGAAUCUUUAUAUUUUUCUAGGUUGACCUCGGAUCAGGUAGGGAUACCCGCUGAACUUAA